AAUGAAAACAAACAAAGAUGGCUGAUUUCUGCGUUUUUAUCACGGGCUCAACUUUUAACACAUUUUGCUCGCUAAGGAAGGCAAAGGAAGGAACGGAGUAGCGUUUUUGGCUGUUUCUGCUAUAACACAUUUUACUCGCUAAGGAAGGCAAAGGAUAGAAGGGAGUAGCGUUUUUGGCUGUUUCUGCUAUAACAGAUUGCACAAACGCUUUGAAACAUUUGCAGCUGUUCACCAACACUCUUACAUUUUCUGGAAUUUUCAAUUGAAUGGGAGAAUACCCAAAUCGGUUCAGCCGUUCUUGAGUUAUAAAUGGUGUAACGACUUUCUUUUAUAUACAUAUGUAUGUAUAUAAGUAGAUAUAGAAAACGGAAAAGCUGAAGAGGAGAAUAAGAAAAGCAUUUGGAGCAUUUUUAUAAUUCAAAUAUCAUAUUGCAAAUUACAAAAAACUAAGAAUGAAUUUCGAUGAUCUUGUGGAAGAAAUGGAUUCCGAAGUGAAAUACUCACAACCGUUGAGCCCCCAUAGAUUUUGCAUUGAACAUCUGAUGAUCUUCAUUUUGCAUUUUUUAAUAAUAUGUUUUUUACAGAUAAAGUGUUUAAAAAAUAUUUUAUAAUAUCGUUUGCGCUC
RNAcentral lists this long non-coding RNA (625 nucleotides) under Bactrocera tryoni. RNAcentral's name for it is "uncharacterized LOC120781552, transcript variant X2". The record is from RNAcentral. Lineage: Eukaryota; Metazoa; Arthropoda; Insecta; Diptera; Tephritidae.